Daphnia magna is the source of this 182-nucleotide long non-coding RNA. RefSeq lists it as uncharacterized. The record is from RefSeq and is a predicted model, not a curated record. NCBI's taxonomy places the organism in Eukaryota, Metazoa, Arthropoda, Branchiopoda, Diplostraca, Daphniidae. The transcript has 3 exons.
UGACUACACACUGGUACAAUUGGAAAUUUUGCCAUUCAUUCUUGGGUUUUCUGUUACGAAUCUUCAUCGAUAUCGCACAAGAUAGUGAAACAACCACGUCCCUUUCAAGGCGGGCAAUUGCUACGUGUGACGAAAGGAACUGUGGACAUGAUCCUCAUAAUAACUCACAUUUUGAACGAACA